AUUUUGCAUUAAACCAAUAACAAAUGGGKAAUUUGCGUCUGAAUUUCAUUGAUGUUAUAUCACCUUGGAGAACUGAUGCCUCAU
Small nucleolar RNA from Cynara cardunculus var. scolymus (artichoke), 84 nucleotides. Lineage: Eukaryota; Viridiplantae; Streptophyta; Magnoliopsida; Asterales; Asteraceae. The record is from RefSeq and is a predicted model, not a curated record.